CCCUUAGAUGUUCUGGGCCGCACGCGCGCUACACUGAUGCAUUCAACGAGUCUAAAACCUGGUCUGAUAGGGGUGGGUAAUCUUUUGAAUGUGCAUCGUGAUUGGGAUAGAUGAUUGCAAUUUUUCAUCUUCAACGAGGAAUGCCUAGUAAACGCAAGUCAUCAGCUUGCAUUGAUUACGUCCCUGCCCUUUGUACACACCGCCCGUCGCUCCUACCGAUUGAAUGAUCCGAUGAAUAUCAUGGAUUGAGGAUGCAAGUAGGUUCGCCUAUCUUCAUCUUCGAGAAGUGAAGUAAAUCUUAUCAUUUAGAGGAAGGAGAAGUCGUAACA
RNAcentral lists this ribosomal RNA (329 nucleotides) under uncultured eukaryote. RNAcentral's name for it is "partial 18S ribosomal RNA". It matches the Rfam family "Eukaryotic small subunit ribosomal RNA", at positions 1470 to 1796 of the family's 1831-position model. The record is from RNAcentral.